CCAACAUGGAUAUCCUGGGAGGUCACUCUCCCCAGGUUCUGUCCUGGUGGCGUAGGGGAGCACAGGGCUCUGGCCUAGGAUGUACAGUCCCUUUCCACAAUGUUGGAGAUAAAGCUGGGCCUUGAGUCUGCACCUGCAUAUUCCUAUGACUUCUCAGAGUCCUGUGGUAGAUGACUGAGGAGAUAAACCAUGCAGGAAACAUUA
Small nucleolar RNA from Jaculus jaculus (lesser Egyptian jerboa), 204 nucleotides. Its record names the gene SNORA73. It matches the Rfam family "Small nucleolar RNA SNORA73 family". From Rfam's summary of the family: U17 (SNORA73A and SNORA73B) also known as E1 belongs to the H/ACA class of small nucleolar RNAs (snoRNAs). Vertebrate U17 is intron-encoded and ranges in length from 200-230 nucleotides, longer than most snoRNAs. The record is from Ensembl. Lineage: Eukaryota; Metazoa; Chordata; Mammalia; Rodentia; Dipodidae.